CAGACGAUGCGUCAUGCAUAUCAAUAAGCGGAGGAAAAGAAACUAACAAGGAUUCCCCUAGUAACGGCGAGUGAAGCGGGAAGAGCUCAAAUUUGAAAUCUUAAAGGGUUUCCCUUUACGAAUUGUAGUUUAAAGAAGUGUUUUCUGUUGAGGUUUUGGUAAAAGUUCUUUGGAAUAGGACAUCAUAGAGGGUGAGAAUCCCGUAUUUGACCUUUACUUUCAACUUUGUGAUACACUUUCAAAGAGUCGGAUUGUUUGGGAAUGCAGUCCAAAAUGGGUGGUAAAUUUCAUCUAAAGCUAAAUAUUGGCGAGAGACCGAUAGCGAACAAGUACCGUGAGGGAAAGAUGAAAAGAACUUUGAAAAGAGAGUUAAACAGUACGUGAAAUUGUCAAAAGGGAAGCGUUUGACACCAGUGUUGUUUUUCUGAAAAUCAAUUAAAGAACUGUUUAUGCUAAGCUGUUUAGACUUUAUCAGCUAUCUGUUUAGUUUUGAGCUUUUCUUUAAUGCACUUUUCAGUUAACAAGUCAACAUCAAUUUCUUUUGCUGUAAAAAAGCUUGAGGAAGGUGGCUUGAGAUCCGUCUUAAGUGUUUAUAGCCUCUUGCCUAUGCAGUCGGAGAGAUUGAGGUCUGCAGCGUAGAUCCUUCGGGGCUAAAUGCAUUUGUGCUAAGUUAUAGCAUUUUAUAGACAACUUGUUGACUAUGAUUUGUCUUGUAGCUUACUCGCUUAUGUUAUUUUACCUACGCUUAGGAUGUUGAGCGCAUGUCUCUCUCU
RNAcentral lists this ribosomal RNA (773 nucleotides) under uncultured Neocallimastigales. RNAcentral's name for it is "partial large subunit ribosomal RNA". It matches the Rfam family "Eukaryotic large subunit ribosomal RNA", at positions 18 to 616 of the family's 3401-position model. The record is from RNAcentral. Lineage: Eukaryota; Fungi; Neocallimastigomycota; Neocallimastigomycetes; Neocallimastigales.